RNAcentral lists this long non-coding RNA (278 nucleotides) under Brassica napus (rape). RNAcentral describes it as "long non-coding RNA (BNAP_LNC023931)". Lineage: Eukaryota; Viridiplantae; Streptophyta; Magnoliopsida; Brassicales; Brassicaceae. The record is from RNAcentral.
AAAUGGACCGUGGUAAGGGAAAAGCACCAUGAGGACCACGGCCAUGGGAAGAUGUGUGGUGAUUGGGUUGAUUUUGAAAAUUGUGUAAUUAUUGUAGCCUAUUGUGCAACUUGUGAACUUAUGCGAUUCUAGUGUGUGAUUUAUUUAUUAGGAUGAUGAAUGAUGUAUGAACCUUGGUUAUUAUGUAUGAAAUAUCUAUUUGCCCUAGUCGAUGUUGGAUUGUUUAAGUGUGAAUGUUGGAACCUCGAAACUCUGAAAAAGACUUAGAAUUAUUUAAC